This 547-nucleotide ribosomal RNA is filed under the name Yamadazyma membranifaciens. RNAcentral describes it as "eukaryotic LSU rRNA". It matches the Rfam family "Eukaryotic large subunit ribosomal RNA", at positions 49 to 634 of the family's 3401-position model. Lineage: Eukaryota; Fungi; Ascomycota; Pichiomycetes; Serinales; Debaryomycetaceae. The record is from RNAcentral.
AGCGGAGGAAAAGAAACCAACAGGGAUUGCCUUAGUAGCGGCGAGUGAAGCGGCAAUAGCUCAAAUUUGAAAUCUGGCACCUUCGGUGUCCGAGUUGUAAUUUGAAGAAGGUAUCUUUGGUUUUGGCUCUUGUCUAUGUUCCUUGGAACAGGACGUCACAGAGGGUGAGAAUCCCGUGCGAUGAGAUGCCCAAUUCCAUGUAAAGUUCCUUCGACGAGUCGAGUUGUUUGGGAAUGCAGCUCUAAGUGGGUGGUAAAUUCCAUCUAAAGCUAAAUAUUGGCGAGAGACCGAUAGCGAACAAGUACUGUGAAGGAAAGAUGAAAAGAACUUUGAAAAGAGAGUGAAAAAGUACGUGAAAUUGUUGAAAGGGAAGGGCUUGAGAUUAGACUUGGAAUUUUCCAUUUAUGGAGCUUUCCGGGCCAGCAUCAGUUUGGAUGGCAGGAUAAUUGCGUUGGAAAGUAGCACCACUUCGGUGGUGUGUUAUAGACUUCGUCGAUACUGCCUAUCUAGACUGAGGACCGCGUCUUUGACUAGGAUGCUGGCGUAA